Molecule: ribosomal RNA, 513 nt
Filed under: uncultured Entrophospora
Lineage: Eukaryota; Fungi; Glomeromycota; Glomeromycetes; Entrophosporales; Entrophosporaceae
Description: SSU rRNA
Rfam family: Eukaryotic small subunit ribosomal RNA
Source: RNAcentral
AGCAGCCGCGGUAAUUCCAGCUCCAAUAGCGUAUAUUAGAGUUGUUGCAGUUAAAAAGCUCGUAGUUGAAUUUCGGGAUUUACACAUCGGUCGUGCCUUAAGGGGUAUGAACUGGUGUAGUCAAUUUCUCACCUUCUGGAGAACCGCGAUGCCCUUAAUUGGGUGUCACGGGGAACCAGGACCUUUACUUUGAAGAAUUAGAGUGUUUAAAGCAGGCAUUUUGCUUGAAUACAUUAGCAUGGAAUAAUAAAAUAGGACGGCAUGAUUCUAUUUUGUUGGUUUCUAGGAUCACCGUAAUGAUUAAUAGGGAUAGUUGGGGGCAUUAGUAUUCAAUUGUCAGAGGUGAAAUUCUUGGAUUUAUUGAAGACUAACUACUGCGAAAGCAUUUGCCAAGGAUGUUUUCAUUAAUCAAGAACGAAAGUUAGGGGAUCGAAGACGAUCAGAUACCGUCGUAGUCUUAACCAUAAACUAUGCCGACUAGGAAUCAGACGAUGUUAAUUUUUUAAUGACUCG